CAUGCCUUGCGCAAGCGGAUGCGAGCGGAUGGCCUUGGUGUGGCGAUGGUGGAAAACGUCGUCGUCGGCGGGCGGGUGAUUCCGCAGGCGUGG
This 93-nucleotide transfer RNA is filed under the name Xanthomonas arboricola pv. fragariae. Its description in RNAcentral is "tRNA-Thr". The record is from RNAcentral. Lineage: Bacteria; Pseudomonadati; Pseudomonadota; Gammaproteobacteria; Lysobacterales; Lysobacteraceae.